This 524-nucleotide ribosomal RNA is filed under the name uncultured bacterium. RNAcentral describes it as "partial 16S ribosomal RNA". It matches the Rfam family "Bacterial small subunit ribosomal RNA", at positions 28 to 523 of the family's 1533-position model. The record is from RNAcentral.
GACGAACGCUGGCGGCGUGCCUAAUACAUGCAAGUCGAGCGCAGGAAACUGACGGAACUCUUCGGAGGGAAGGCAGUGGAAUGAGCGGCGGACGGGUGAGUAACACGUAAGGAACCUGCCUCAAGGAUUGGGAUAACUCCGAGAGAUCGGAGCUAAUACCGGAUAGUUCAACGGACCGCAUGGUCCGCUGAUGAAAGGCGCUUCGGCGUCACCUUGAGAUGGCCUUGCGGUGCAUUAGCUAGUUGGUGGGGUAACGGCCCACCAAGGCGACGAUGCAUAGCCGACCUGGGAGGGUGAUCGGCCACACUGGGACUGAGACACGGCCCAGACUCCUACGGGAGGCAGCAGUAGGGAAUCUCCCACAAUGGACGAAAGUCUGAUGGAGCAACGCCGCGUGAGUGAUGAAGGUUUUCGGAUCGUAAAACUCUGUUGUAAGGGAAGAACACGUACGAGAGGAAAUGCUCGUACCUUGACGGUACCUUACGAGAAAGCCACGGCUAACUACGUGCCAGCCGCCGCGGUAA